This 898-nucleotide ribosomal RNA is filed under the name bacterium enrichment culture clone 0-17G06. Its description in RNAcentral is "bacterial SSU rRNA". It matches the Rfam family "Bacterial small subunit ribosomal RNA", at positions 9 to 916 of the family's 1533-position model. The record is from RNAcentral.
GAGUUUGAUCAUGGCUCAGGACGAACGCUGGCGGCGUGCCUAACACAUGCAAGUCGAGCGAAGUAGGAUGUGUUCUUCGGAAUGCGUUCUACUUAGCGGCGGACGGGUGAGUAACGCGUGAGGAACCUGCCUCUCACAGAGGGAUAGCCUCGGGAAACUGAGGGUAAUACCUCAUGAGACUUAUAUACCGCAUGGUAUGUAAGUUAAAGCGAUUUAGCGGUGAGAGAUGGCCUCGCGUCCCAUUAGCUAGUUGGUGAGGUAACGGCUCACCAAGGCGACGAUGGGUAGCCGGCCUGAGAGGGUGGACGGCCACACUGGAACUGAGACACGGUCCAGACUCCUACGGGAGGCAGCAGUGGGGGAUAUUGCACAAUGGGGGAAACCCUGAUGCAGCGACGCCGCGUGAGCGAAGAAGGCCUUCGGGUCGUAAAGCUCUGUCCUAAGGGAAGAUAAUGACGGUACCUUAGGAGGAAGCCCCGGCUAACUACGUGCCAGCAGCCGCGGUAAAACGUAGGGGGCGAGCGUUGUCCGGAAUUACUGGGCGUAAAGGGUGCGUAGGCGGCUAUUUAAGUCAGAUGUGAAAGGCUACGGCUCAACCGUAGUGAGCAUUUGAAACUGAAUAGCUUGAGUCAAGGAGAGGGAAGUGGAAUUCCUGGUGUAGCGGUGAAAUGCGUAGAUAUCAGGAGGAAUACCAGUGGCGAAGGCGACUUCCUGGCCUUAGACUGACGCUGAGGCACGAAAGCGUGGGGAGCAAACAGGAUUAGAUACCCUGGUAGUCCACGCCGUAAACGAUGAGUGCUAGGUGUUGGGGAGGUUACUCUUCAGUGCCGCAGCUAACGCAAUAAGCACUCCGCCUGGGGAGUACGUACGCAAGUAUGAAACUCAAAGGAAUUGACGG